Long non-coding RNA from Gavialis gangeticus (Gharial), 3586 nucleotides. RefSeq lists it as uncharacterized. The transcript has 3 exons. Lineage: Eukaryota; Metazoa; Chordata; Crocodylia; Gavialidae. The record is from RefSeq and is a predicted model, not a curated record.
GAAGCUGGAUUGAAUCCAGGACUUGGGUGGUUAUAAGCAGUCUAUAAGUUUGCUUAGUGGAUUUUUCCAGGGGUUGAUCCUGCAGGGACAGAGGCCAGCUGGGUUGUAAUGGGAGGCAGAGAAGAGGCUUCUGGAAGGAAAGCCCCAACAGAGGACAGCUCUGCACUAAGGACUGUGACCCAACAGGGAACUGGGAAAAGUUCUUAGUUUUUUUUUCCCCACAAUGCUUUUACCAAACAAGAAUCCAAAGGGGAAUUUUAGUGAGAGAUCUAUUUCCCUUUCCCCCUGUUGGAGACUAACUGGAUAGAAACUAAGGCAGUAGCACAGUUGGAAAUGAGGCUGGGUAUGCCUAGCUUCAGUGCCAUGUAGGAAAGAGAAUUUGCUUAUUUCCAGGCAUUUGCAGUCCAUCCUUAUUAUUGGCAGGUGGGAUUAUGACAUUAGAGGAGACUUAGCACAACAUAGAGCUCAUUUCAGUUCCAGAAACUAUUAUAUUCUGAUUAAUAGGUUGUGAAAACUAUACAAAAUGGUGCUUGUUGCACCUAAUACCCUUUGCCAUCAUUGUUACUUCCUAGCUGGAAAAAAACUGUUGUUGUGCUUGUUAAAGGCAUAGUUUAAAAUGAAACAGCUCUGCUUGUAGUAAUAGUACUGCUGAUGUCAGUGAAGUGAUGUAGUCCUUUUAUUAGACUAACAUUAGCUAGUCACAGGAAGCAUAAAUUAGAGGCAGUAUAGCUGCACAGCACACAAUCUCUUGGACUUUCAGCUGCUUUGAGCAGAGACUAAUAAUUACUGUGUUCUGUAAGGUACUGAGCACACUCCUGGUGCUCCACAGAGAGAGGAGGGAAAUCCAGCACUCCAGCCUGAGCAUCUCUAGUCUGGGUUUGUAGUAGUUAUUUGUGGUGUGCUCUUCUCCUUAAUUAUUGCUCUCUAGAAUGAUAAAGCACAAGAUGAAAGGAAAUGAAACAACCAGGCUUAUUAAGGUUAAUUCCAGAACUGUUAGCUAAGAACAUACAAGUUAUGUGGCUGACAAACCUAAAUAGACAACACUCAAAGAACAGCAAUGUAAACUAUGGCUUACAUCCUCCCAGUGAGUGUUGCAAAGCAAGCAAUAGGGAAAAGGUAGACACAAGAAGGCAUACACCCCUCAAGCCAGUUUUCCCAGCUAAUCUCUGGAGAAUCUCUGCCCGGAAGUGAAGUCUCUUGGAGCCCUGUCCAUCUAGACCCGUUCAAGGAAAAUGUCUUGCCCGCACUGUUGUAAAGGUUUAGGCUUCUGCUAUUUCAGGUGCAACCUCCCUGUUCCUAGAAGAAGACAGCAGUUUUCAGGACACUUAGCUGCAUAGAUCUGGAGAAAUACAUCUACUGGCAAAGCAAAGAAACACAGCAAAAGGGCAGCCAUGAGGAUCAAACUGGGAUACUGAGUUCCUGGGGCCAGCAUACAUGUCUGAUGGCAGAAAAAAGCAGUGCAGUUGUCCAGACAGGUGGCGCACUGAUAUGGGACAGUGAUGCACCAAUGCAGGCUAAAAACAACACAGAAAGCUAGCUCCUACAGCCCAGAGGCUAAUGUGAACCAGGUGGGAGAGGCAAGGAGGCACAGAUUCAUGUGAAAAACAAGGUAUUAACUUUAAUGGUGGUUGUCAAGGUGGCAAGACUCCUCAUACUGCCUAAGGGCAGAUACAGUAAUGUGUGCCUGUACUCUGAGCUUAUUUCAGAGUGGCCUCUGCAGGAUGUAUGUAAUGUCUGGCCAUUCCUGCAAUAGCCACACCUGGUUUUUCACCUGGUCACUCCUAAUAGGGCCCAGGUGGUGCCAAGGCCUCAUACUGGCUUUUAGUUUAAGGAACAGUUUCUCCUUUGUGUGGCCUUGCAGAAGCAAGCAAAUCUGCAUCUGGGAACAGCCGCUGGAAGGCCUAAUCUGAUUGGGACAUAAUUAGUCCAGUACCCAGUUUUAAAAUGCAUUGUGUUGACUGUGAAGAUGGAGCCCAAAUAAAUCAAAGUUUCCCCUGUUUUGUGUCUGCUGCUUCCAGUUCUGAGGAAAAAUGAGCUAAAGGGGAGCAGCCAUUGGAACUUGCCUGAAUCAACAUCUGGGAAGGAUCAGGAAGAUAACCAUUAGCUUAGCAGAGAAGUGUCAGAGCUCUGUUAGGAGUCAAGGGAUCUGUUUUUAUUUUAUUCUUCAAGAAAAUGAAAUGUCCUAUUACUGCUGGUUUCUCAGUCUGUGGGGGACAGCUGAAGCAGGAACGUCUGCACUUUUCAUGUGGCCUUCAUAAACAAACCAAAAAAGCAGCCCAGCAACCACCAGGGGAAGUGACAGCUGGCCCAUAGGGUAGAACUUAAAGCAAUCGGCACCUUUCUGUAUCUUACCCUAACUGUGCUUUCCGUGCUGCAUGGAAACUUUCAGUUUCUACCAUUAAAAAGGGCUGAAUUGGGGGUAUUAGAAAAGCAAAAUCUAGUGAAAAGAAAUAAUUAAAAUAUUAAGGGUUAGAUUCUCUGGGUUGCUGAGACUAAUGUGCUGAGACUUUAAUGUCAGUGAUAGCAAGUAGUGACUUGCCCUUGUGGAGGAAGCAGUCUCUGUGCAGCAGGAAGAUGGUGGAGGUACGUUUAGUAAUACUGCCUGCAAGUAUAUAAAAAUCAUGAGUCAGGUCCCUAACAAAUUUUCUUAAAUUAUGGAAUUUUAAAAGUAUGGAUUUUAUGUUUUUUGCCUAGGUUUUUGUGCCUUUAAGGAAUGUUAAAGUCACAUUUCCAAGUUCUUUUUCUGUAAGACUAAUGUUUCAAUAUUUACACAGACAGGUUGUUAGCCAUAUUAGUCUGAAGUCAGGCAGAAGGCAGGGUACUUUGCACCUUAUAGACUAACUAAUUUAGAAAUGUAUAUAGCACAGGCUUUCAUGACCUGGAGCCCAUUUCAUUAGAUGCUGUGGAAGGACAUGCACAGACCAAUAAAAUGGAGGCAGUGAUUUGAAUACAAAAGGUGGGAAGGGAGGAGGGUGAGAGAAGGGGGUGGGAGGCAGCAAACAAGAAAAAAAAUCAUAGGAACAAAGCUAGUCCAGGGAAUGAGUAAGAAUCCAUGCUCCCUGUUUAAACCAUACUUAAUGCAACCCAGGCUAUGGAUAAUUUCUUGUUCUACAAUUUUCCUGUUCAAAAUGCUUUUUAAAAUAUUGCUGCCUGAGAACAGCCAUCCUGAGGUCAGCAACAGAGUGCCCAGGGAGAUUAAAGUGUACUGCCACAGGCUGUUGUUUCUUUCUGCAGCUGAUGUCAGAUCAUUCAUUCUUACAUGAAGAGAUCAUGUAAGAUCUGUCCAAUGUAGACAGCAAAGAGGCAUUGUAAGCAGGUGGUGGUGUAUAUGACAGUGGUAGACUUGUAGGUGAAUGAACCUCAGAUAUUUUAUACUCCUUGUUAUUUGGUCCAGUGUGGUCUAUAUUGAUGUGGCACAGCAGGCAUUUGGGUCCGUUGCAAGACCUUCGUGAGGAUAGGAGUUAGUCUGUUCCUUGAGACACAUCUGUCACUUUAGAGAUGCCAUCUGAGGUUGUUACUUACAGCCCUCAGCUUGUAUACUUGGGGUAGGCAACCCCCAGCAUUUUGCUUGGCACGCACACCUCAG